UAGGGAAUUUUCGGCAAUGGGGGAAACCCUGACCGAGCAACGCCGCGUGAGCGAAGAAGGCCUUCGGGUCGUAAAGCUCUGUUGUAAAGGAAGAACGGCGCAUACAGGAAAUGGUAUGCGAGUGACGGUACUUUACCAGAAAGCCACGGCUAACUACGUGCCAGCAGCCGCGGUAAUACGUAGGUGGCGAGCGUUAUCCGGAAUCAUUGGGCGUAAAGAGGGAGCAGGCGGCCGCAAGGGUCUGUGGUGAAAGACCGAAGCUAAACUUCGGUAAGCCAUGGAAACCGGGCGGCUAGAGUGCGGAAGAGGAUCGUGGAAUUCCAUGUGUAGCGGUGAAAUGCGUAGAUAUAUGGAGGAACACCAGUGGCGAAGGCGACGGUCUGGGCCGCAACUGACGCUCAUUCCCGAAAGCGUGGGGAGCAAAUAGG
This 428-nucleotide ribosomal RNA is filed under the name uncultured Catenibacterium sp. Its description in RNAcentral is "bacterial SSU rRNA". It matches the Rfam family "Bacterial small subunit ribosomal RNA", at positions 355 to 776 of the family's 1533-position model. Lineage: Bacteria; Bacillati; Bacillota; Erysipelotrichia; Erysipelotrichales; Coprobacillaceae. The record is from RNAcentral.